RNAcentral lists this ribosomal RNA (117 nucleotides) under Paramormyrops kingsleyae. Lineage: Eukaryota; Metazoa; Chordata; Actinopteri; Osteoglossiformes; Mormyridae. The record is from RNAcentral.
ACCAGCAGCUACAUCACCUGCAGCUCAGACUGGGUAAUCCACCUGAAGCUGAGCAGGUUUGGGCCUGGCCAGUACUUGGAUGGAAGACCAACUAGGAAAGUUGGGUUGCUGCUGGGG